GCCAGAGGGGGCGAGCGUUAUCCGGAAUUAUUGGGCGUAAAGGGUACGUAGGCGGCUGGUCAAGUCUGGGGUCAAAGGCCACAGCUCAACUGUGGAAAGGCCCUGGAAACUGACCGGCUAGAGUGAGGUAGGGGUUGCGGGAAUUCCCGGUGUAGCGGUGAAAUGCGUAGAGAUCGGGAAGAACACCUGAGGCGGAAGCGCGCAACUGGGCCUCAACUGACGCUGAGGUACGAAAGCUAGGGGAGCGAAUGGG
Molecule: ribosomal RNA, 253 nt
Filed under: uncultured bacterium
Lineage: Bacteria
Description: partial 16S ribosomal RNA
Rfam family: Bacterial small subunit ribosomal RNA
Source: RNAcentral